GCCUACAGCCACAGCUCGUCUGCCAGAAGUGCAAGUCAGCCUCUGGUGGGCUCAAUAACAAGGCCACCAGGAGCCACAGAACACAAGACAUGUGGUGACACCAUCAGCAUUAAGGCUUUUAAAAUUCUAACACGCAGGCUUUUAAGAGCAGGCAGAGUCUAGCCUUAGAGGAAAGACUGAUUGGUGCUUGGAUAAAGCUGGGUCUGCAUAGCAGGUUAUCUUGGUGUAAACUGUAUGUGGCCACACAUCUGGCAGUGUUCCAGAAGAAUCCUAGUCAAGUCACACUUCAUGUAAACAUACUAGAAGGUGACCUGGUCAGAAGCAGUCUGGUUGAAAUCUAGUUGGUUCAAGUUGGUCCAAGAUUUGAAUUCUUUGUUUGGAGUCCAGUUCGGCCCAUCAUGGUGAGGCUUUGUAUGGAGUUUAGCUCACACUUGGGCUCACGGCUUUUACUUCCUGAACCAACAUUUAAAACAAGGAUUUUCUCAAAUGGAUGUCAAGCCUAGUGUUAGAAAUGUACCAGAACACCAUGGAGAUCACUAAAAAGCCCUUUCUUUUCUCAUCUUGCUUCUUUAUUUCUGAAGCCAAUGCCACUCCUUACAGAAAAUACACCAAAGCUGCCUACCUACAGAGAGAAUCAUCAAUACCCAACCUAGUCUUUGUUUUUCAUGUAAAAAUAAACCUGUAAUACCU
Molecule: long non-coding RNA, 690 nt
Organism: Erinaceus europaeus (western European hedgehog)
Lineage: Eukaryota; Metazoa; Chordata; Mammalia; Eulipotyphla; Erinaceidae
Exons: 2
Source: RefSeq, a predicted model, not a curated record